GACGAACGCUGGCGGCGUGCCUAAUACAUGCAAGUAGAACGCUGAAGGAGGAGCUUGCUUCUCUGGAUGAGUUGCGAACGGGUGAGUAACGCGUAGGUAACCUGCCUGGUAGCGGGGGAUAACUAUUGGAAACGAUAGCUAAUACCGCAUAAUAGCAGUUAUUGCAUGAUAACUGUUUGAAAGGUGCAAUUGCAUCACUACCAGAUGGACCUGCGUUGUAUUAGCUAGUUGGUGAGGUAACGGCUCACCAAGGCGACGAUACAUAGCCGACCUGAGAGGGUGAUCGGCCACACUGGGACUGAGACACGGCCCAGACUCCUACGGGAGGCAGCAGUAGGGAAUCUUCGGCAAUGGACGGAAGUCUGACCGAGCAACGCCGCGUGAGUGAAGAAGGUUUUCGGAUCGUAAAGCUCUGUUGUAAGAGAAGAACGAGUGUGAGAGUGGAAAGUUCACACU
RNAcentral lists this ribosomal RNA (456 nucleotides) under Streptococcus mitis. RNAcentral's name for it is "bacterial SSU rRNA". It matches the Rfam family "Bacterial small subunit ribosomal RNA", at positions 28 to 470 of the family's 1533-position model. Lineage: Bacteria; Bacillati; Bacillota; Bacilli; Lactobacillales; Streptococcaceae. The record is from RNAcentral.